AAAAUAUAAAAAACUAACCGUGAAACACGAAAUCAUCACUCUCUCUGUGCCUCGCCACUCUUCCUCACACAAACUACUCUCUCAGAGCCUUAUUCUCUCUGAGAAGUGAUAACCACACACUAAUCUUCUUCUCAAACUUACUCUCGCUCUCACAUCUCCAUCAUUUCAUUUCCUCAUUGCUCAAAUCUCUUCCAGUUAUCAUCUCAAUCUUAAUCGCGCUCUGAAUCCUUUUCUUUGACAAGCUUGUGUUGAUUUCGAUUGAAAUCUCAAUCGCGCUCUAGUAAUCAGUUUGGACCGUAUGCUUGGAGAACAUAUAAGGAAGUGUAUGAUGAAGUUCUGCAUAUUGGUUCUGCUUUAGAAAAGCCUCUGAUGCGAAACCUGUUUCCUUUGUUUCAGUUCAAGGUUUCGAGUAAAGCAAGAUGUUGCGUGCUAUAAGGCAUAAGAGUAUCCGUCCUGCCUCCAGUGCAUUUAGAGCUUUUUCUUCUACAGCUAAAGAGAAAAGGUACUUUUCAAGAAAGCUUAAUGCCGACAAGAACAAAUAAAAAGUUUGCAAUUCUUCAAAUUUAAGUGGUUCUGGUCGCAUGUUUUUUGGGGACGAGGGAUCAUCCAUCCAACAGCAGUCUACUUCAUUCUCGCCAUUCGAUGGAAUAUAGUAUGGAACUAUCUAUGUGUUUUAAGUCACUUUUCAAUCUUUUGCAUUGAAGUACUUUAGAAAACUCCAUCAUUGCUAAAUGUGAUGAAUUUGCUUGUUAGUUCAACCUACAUUAUUGGAGUGGAGACAUAUUGUAUUGGAAAUUCUUGUCUCAAAAUGACAAGUUUUAAAGCACAUGUUGAUAGUGAAACAUCAUUUACAUUUCUUCCUAGACAUGUGUAUGAAUCCAUAGCAGAAGAGGUACUUCGGUUUUUAAAAUUUGAUGUAGACAAUUAUUAGUUGUUAUUGUACAUUUGUACUUAUGUAAAUCCUUCAGAGCUGGCUUAAUAUGGUUAUAUUUGUGGCAAUUUAAUAAAAAUCUAAAUGCUUCAAGAGCUACCUUCAAAGAUACUCCCUAGGAGUAUUGUUAUGCUUUUCAGGUGAAUAUACUCUAUCUCACUCAUUUGUACUUUUCUCCUCAAUGUUUGGGUGUCCUAAAUGGAUGAUUUCUAUAAUUUCUCUUUUUUUUCCUUUUUAAAAUCUUUGUUCAUUCAGUUCACAAGACUUGCCAAAGAUUCCCACCUUAACACUUAUGUUCCAACAGAAUAACAACUUUGUGCUCUAUAAUCCUGUGUUUGUAUUCAAUGUCAAUCAGAAAACAACUGCAUUUUGUUUAGCCAUAGAGCCAGCUGAAGGAAAUAUGGGAACAAUAGGAUCUUUCUCCUAAAUGAACCGACUAGUUUGAUUCUGGCAUUCAGGUCACUCCUACAAGAAGCUCAUUUUGAGAUAGAAGAGGACAUAGCAACCCUGUAGGAAGCUCAUUUUGAGUUUAUAGACUUGUAGUAUUUUUUAUUGUUUAGAUUUGUAAUAUGAUUUAUUACUUUUUAAAAGAAAUUUGUGU
Long non-coding RNA from Arachis stenosperma, 1532 nucleotides. RefSeq lists it as uncharacterized. The record is from RefSeq and is a predicted model, not a curated record. NCBI's taxonomy places the organism in Eukaryota, Viridiplantae, Streptophyta, Magnoliopsida, Fabales, Fabaceae. The transcript has 7 exons.